UACGUAGGGGGCAAGCGUUGUCCGGACUUACUGGGCGUAAAGCGCGUGCAGGCGGAUUGGUAUGUGCCGUGUGAAAGCUCCCGGCUUGCCCGGGAGAGGUCGCGGUAGACAGCCGAUCCGGAGGCUCGGAGAGGUUCGUGGAAUUCCCGGUGUAGUGGUGAAAUGCGUAGAUAUCGGGAGGAACACCAGUGGCGAAGGCGACUACCUGGCCUGUUCUUGACGCUGAGGCGCGAAAGCUAGGGGAGCAAACGGG
RNAcentral lists this ribosomal RNA (253 nucleotides) under uncultured bacterium. Its description in RNAcentral is "partial 16S ribosomal RNA". It matches the Rfam family "Bacterial small subunit ribosomal RNA", at positions 524 to 776 of the family's 1533-position model. The record is from RNAcentral.